AACGAACGCUGGCGGCAUGCCUAACACAUGCAAGUCGAACGAGACCUUCGGGUCUAGUGGCGCACGGGUGCGUAACGCGUGGGAACCUGCCCUUAGGUUCGGAAUAACUCCCCGAAAGGGGUGCUAAUACCGGAUAAUGUCUUCGGACCAAAGAUUUAUCGCCUUUGGAUGGGCCCGCGUUGGAUAGCUAGUUGGUAGGGUAAAAGCCUACCAAGGCGACGAUCCAUAGCUGGUCUGAGAGGAUGAUCAGCCACACUGGGACUGAGACACGGCCCAGAAUACUACGGGAGGGAGCAGUGGGGAAUAUUGGAAAAUGGGCGAAAGCCUGAUCCAGCAAUGCCGCGUGAGUGAUGAAGGCCUUAGGGUUGUAAAGCUCUUUUAACCGGGAUGAUAAUGACAGUACCGGGAGAAUAAGCUCCGGCUAACUCCGUG
This 432-nucleotide ribosomal RNA is filed under the name uncultured bacterium. Its description in RNAcentral is "partial 16S ribosomal RNA". It matches the Rfam family "Bacterial small subunit ribosomal RNA", at positions 29 to 507 of the family's 1533-position model. The record is from RNAcentral.